Long non-coding RNA from Zootermopsis nevadensis, 1010 nucleotides. RefSeq lists it as uncharacterized. The record is from RefSeq and is a predicted model, not a curated record. Lineage: Eukaryota; Metazoa; Arthropoda; Insecta; Blattodea; Termopsidae.
UCUGGCCGGGACGUGUAGUGACGGUGGUUGGUUUCGUGUUUAGGUGAACGUGUAUGUUAUUUAAGUGCUGGAUAAAUUAUAUUCAACCAGUUAUAUUUCGAAGAAUCCAUUCCACCAUGAAACAGUGUGACUUUGAAACAGACUUCGAGCUGGAAGACAACAGAGUACUCGGAAGUGCCACUACUGAAAGUUCAGACUUUGCAUUAUUGCUACGAGCCCCGCCUAUGUCAUCUUCUUUGAUUUGAUCAUCCUAGCAAUGUUUAGUGACGAACACAAAACACUUCGAAAUCUCUUCUUCCAUUCAUGUGAAAGACCAAGUUUCAUACCCGUGUAAAAGAACAGGUCUACAUCCGAUAUAAGUGAGCGCAAACUGCUGAGGAAUAAAACAUUGCAAAGAAUACUGAUGGACAUAUAGUGCACUAAACAGUACUGGUGUUAUACUAUCAUCUGGGAAUGGUUUUGAUACCAGUGUAUGCCAGCAGCAAGACAAAUUGAGACACUUCUUUGACACAGAAAAACAGGACGUCAAACAGUCUCAAACAGUCGAUUAUAGUUCAAGGCCAUUUGAUUAGGAAAUAUUCAGUGUAAAAAUUAUUCGCGUGUGACCGUUUGUUCAUUGUUUAUUUGCCUGCAAUGAAGAAAAAUUGGCUCUUUAACCCUUCGAAGCGGAAUCUUGCCUUUGAAUAAUAUUUAAAACUUUGAGCCAUUACCUCGAGGAAAGCACAACCCCACAUUCAUUAUUAAAAUCAACUAGUAAAUUUUGUUUAAAGAUAUAACCGCUGUUUACUCUGAAAAUUAUACAAAAUUGAUAAAUACACUUCGUGGGCAAAUCACAGAAUUAUUUAAAGAUAAGAAACGGGUGGUACGUGCAGUUACUUUUAGACUCUGAAGUGUUAACGUGGAUAUUAAAAUUGUUAGGAAAUUAAUGUCGUCGAAAUUCAUGUCACUUAUAUAACGAUAGUAAAUAAGAACAAUAAAAUAAAAUUGUAUUUCUUGUUCAGGCCAUUAAA